Molecule: long non-coding RNA, 470 nt
Filed under: Homo sapiens (human)
Lineage: Eukaryota; Metazoa; Chordata; Mammalia; Primates; Hominidae
Description: HSALNT0389013
Source: RNAcentral
AUCCCAGCACUUUGGGAGGCCGAGGCGGGCGGAUCACUUGAGGUCAGGAGUUCAAGACCAGCCUGGCCAACAUGUGAAACCCCGUCUCUACCAAAAAAUACAAAAAUUAGCUGGGCGUGGUGGCACGUGCCUGUGAUCCCAGAUACUUGGGAGGCUGAGGUGGGAGGAUUGCUUAAACUAGAGGCGGAGGUUGCAAUGAGAUGAGAUCACACCACUGCACUCCAGCCUGGGUAACAGAGUGAGACUGUCUCAAAAAUAAAAUAAAUAAGUAACAUUUUUUUCUGACCUUCCCUGUUCUUUCUGAGACCCCCUUGUUAAAUUUUAAGACUUGCAGUUUUUGAGGCCUGGUUCUGAAGUGAACUACUCAGCAUUACUUGCAAAGGACAGACCUGCAAAGUGACGUUUUGCUGGCAGAAAUGGAGAAGGAGCUGAGUACAGAUUUCAUGUAAUAAAAGUGAAAUGAAAAUGAA